GGCUACAAGUCUGGCCACAUCCUUCGGCCACUAAGGGCAAUCCUUUAUAAGCUGUUGGGUGUUUCCACACCGAUGGCAAGCAUGAUUGAUACACUGAUAGGGCAAAUCACCAUGCGAGCGACCACAAUACUGACAUGGUUGGGAAGGUCGGACAAGCUGUCCAGUAGGUGGAGGUAGAGCAAGGAGAAGGGCAACUCGGAUUCGUUUAUCAGGGUGGC
RNAcentral lists this long non-coding RNA (218 nucleotides) under Carica papaya (papaya). RNAcentral's name for it is "long non-coding RNA (CPAP_LNC013686)". The record is from RNAcentral. Lineage: Eukaryota; Viridiplantae; Streptophyta; Magnoliopsida; Brassicales; Caricaceae.